GGGUCAGUAGGUUGGUCGUGCCACCGGUACGUACUGGUCUCACUGAUUCCUCCUUCCUGAAGAACCGUAAUGCCAUUAAUUUGGUGUUGCGGGGAAACAGGACUGUUACUUUGAAAUAAUUAGAGUGUUUAAAGCAAGCUAACGCCUGAAUACAUUAGCAUGGAAUAAUGAAACAGGACGAUCGAUCCUAUUUUGUUGGUUUCUAGGAUUGACGUA
RNAcentral lists this ribosomal RNA (216 nucleotides) under Glomeromycotina sp. RNAcentral's name for it is "partial small subunit ribosomal RNA". The stretch from base 44 to 216 matches the Rfam family "Eukaryotic small subunit ribosomal RNA", at positions 690 to 864 of the family's 1831-position model. Lineage: Eukaryota; Fungi; Glomeromycota. The record is from RNAcentral.